CCUCAAAACACACCCAUUCUCUCUCUCUCUCCACUGCCCAUCCACGGCCAAACGCCCCUGCCGCUCGCCACCGUCCAAUCCGCUCGUCGUUUCUGCGAGGCCCAGUGUUUCGAUUUCCAAACGGGAUCAAAGGACCGGCUUCUGGAACCAUUCCUAGGUCUAGCCGAUUCGACAUCGACAUCGACAUCGACGCUCUAUCUAGACCUCUCCUUCAACCGCCUACUCGAGUCCAGGCCUUGUGAUUCGGACCAGAACGAUAUGAUCGAACGAGCGAUGAAGAUGGGAUCUGUGCUCCUCGAAGCCCAUAAGAGAUCUGCCAGAAAGCGUGCCACAAUGCACAACGCCGUCGUUUGGGCCCUGCCUCCUGAUCUCACUACCAAAUUUCGUGUGGAUUGAUUUUUUUUUUUGGGGGUUUGGGUUUCGGUUAUUUGUUCGGUUGGAGUGCACAAAACUCUUUAACGGUUUACCUGGAACACUGGAUAUGGAGUCUACUAUUGUGAUCAAGAGUUCUUUGCAGAGGGUGCAAUCUAAAUGUUACUUGCUAGAAUGCAUAAAUUCUCAGCUGGCUCAAUGAUAGAGUUUACAUGGGCUAUCCUCAAUUUCCCAAAAUCCCAUUGAUUUGUAUUUUGUGCCUUACUGAUUGUUGACUACACACCUCUAUUUUGAUUAAGGUAGGAGGAACUACAAACAAUCUUGAAUAAAGUUGUGCAAAGUUUGCUACUUGAGCCUUACCCGUCAGAUUGAUAGUUGCUUAGAAGGCUGCCUUGUGUUAGCUAGAAUGAAGGAGUAUCGUUCAAUGUUCAGUGUUCCAUGGAAAGAUUAGAGACAAAAAAGUGAAGAAGUUGUAUCUUCCUCUUGCUACUGCUGCUCCUCUUCCUGUUGGAGUAAUUACCCAAGCUAUGUGACGUGUCAAUAUGGCUCCAAGGAUUCUUUCGGAAGGGCUAUUUAAGGAAAGGAUGUGUAUUAGAGGUGAUGGAAAGAUAUGACGAUGUAAGCAUAUCGUUUAAUUAGUUCAUUGGAAUGCUUGAGAAAAUUUAUUCUAUUUUCUGAUGUCUUAACUGCCUACCUCAUGUAGGCCUUGACUGCCUUUCAAAUAGCGCUGUAACAAAAUCCACAAAGCUCAGAGGUGUCAAAAAGAUCAAGAGGCUUGCAUAGCUGGCAAAAGAUAAAAAAUGAGUUCAAAAAAUGGAAAACAUGAGAUUAAGAUAUCAAUCAACAAAAAAUGGAAAACAUGAGAUCCAAUAUUGAUAUCGCAAAGUACAUAGAUCAAUUAAAAUCUGAACUGGUAUCACUGACUGGUUUGAUGAGGGCAUUGUUGAGGAGUAAUGAGCUAGAGGAAAAAUGUAUUUUGUUUGGAUAUACGGGCUGAACCAGCAUCAGUACGACUUGUUCUUUUUCUUCUCUUUCAGGGAAUAAAAAUAUAUAUGUUGAUCUGAAGUGAUAUCGCUGACUGGUUUGAUGAGGGCAUUGGGGAGUAAUGAGCGAGAGAAAAAAAUGAAUUUUGUUUUGAUAUGCAGGCUCAACCAGCAUCAGUACGACUUGUUCUUUUUCUUUUCUUUUUCAGUGAAUAUAAAUAUGUAUGUUGAUUUGUCUUUAAUUACUUUAUCCAUUGAAAUGAGUCAAUUUGUUGUAGUUUGAUGACAUUCUCAGUAAUACUUUCGUGGCUGGCCUUCGAUUAGGUUGAUGAGUGAUUAGUUUAAUUCAAAAUUUAUGGUUUUGGUCACUCAAUUGUCAUUGCUUUGGAAAUAUAGCUACAAAUUUGGAAUCCUUGAUAUCAUACUCUCUUCGAUAUAUAUGUUUCCUUCUGUCUUCUGUUUCCUUGAUAUCGUACUCGAUAUGUUCUCGCAUUUUCCUCUUCAGUUAACAUGCAUAUGGAGUUUCCCAGUUGGACUAAAGUGAAGAACAUGUUCAUCGUGCUUCAAUAUUCUUUGUAGAACAAGUGGGGUUUUGGCUCCUUCAAUUAGGAUCAUCAUUCUUUCAAGUAUAUCUAACUCAAGGAUUGAUAUUCAGGAUACCAUUGUGAUGACAAACUUCAUCAUAUGAUGUUUUCAAGUUCUACCAUAGCUAUGGGAUACAGAAACCAUACAAACAUCAAGUUCUGAGUGUAAAAUAUUUACUGUAGUUUGUUCAGAUUUUGUUAGUGUUGAAGUGUUUGUGCUUCAUUUUCUUAUUUCUGUUGAUUUACAACUUUUUCUACGCCCAUUCACAUUUAUAUCUUACUGUGGAUAGGCCUUUUGCAAGCAUAAAUAUAACCUACUUAUAUACAGAAAACUAUACAUCAAACUAAAAUAUCCUAUAUCCCAACGAAAUUAAAAAUCGAUCAAUUCAACGGGCAUGGCACACGUACCUUGCAUGUGGCAAAGUACCUAGUCCUAG
Rhododendron vialii is the source of this 2376-nucleotide long non-coding RNA. RefSeq lists it as uncharacterized. Lineage: Eukaryota; Viridiplantae; Streptophyta; Magnoliopsida; Ericales; Ericaceae. The record is from RefSeq and is a predicted model, not a curated record. The transcript has 8 exons.